GGGUUGUGAGGUUAAGCGACUAAGCGUACACGGUGGAUGCCCUGGCAGUCAGAGGCGAUGAAGGGCGUACUAAUCUGCGAUAAGCGCCGGUAAGGUGAUAUGAACCGUUAUAACCGGCGAUACCCGAAUGGGGAAACCCAGUGUGAUUCGUCACACUAUCAUUAACUGAAUCCAUAGGUUAAUGAGGCGAACCGGGGGAACUGAAACAUCUAAGUACCCCGAGGAAAAGAAAUCAACCGAGAUUCCCCCAGUAGCGGCGAGCGAACGGGGAGGAGCCCAGAGCCUGAAUCAGCAUGUGUGUUAGUGGAAGCGUCUGGAAAGGCGCGCGAUACAGGGUGACAGCCCCGUACACAAAAGCGCAUGUGCUGUGAGCUCGAUGAGUAGGGCGGGACACGUGGUAUCCUGUCUGAAUAUGGGGGGACCAUCCUCCAAGGCUAAAUACUCCUGACUGACCGAUAGUGAACCAGUACCGUGAGGGAAAGGCGAAAAGAACCCCGGCGAGGGGAGUGAAAAAGAACCUGAAACCGUGUACGUACAAGCAGUGGGAGCCCCACCACCAAAGCAUUUGCUGUACCGCGUUGACGGAGCGAAGCGACGUCAAACCGAUAA
RNAcentral lists this ribosomal RNA (609 nucleotides) under Salmonella enterica subsp. enterica serovar Enteritidis. RNAcentral describes it as "partial 23S ribosomal RNA". It matches the Rfam family "Bacterial large subunit ribosomal RNA", at positions 1 to 587 of the family's 2925-position model. The record is from RNAcentral. Lineage: Bacteria; Pseudomonadati; Pseudomonadota; Gammaproteobacteria; Enterobacterales; Enterobacteriaceae.